RNAcentral lists this ribosomal RNA (468 nucleotides) under uncultured bacterium. Its description in RNAcentral is "partial 16S ribosomal RNA". It matches the Rfam family "Bacterial small subunit ribosomal RNA", at positions 28 to 507 of the family's 1533-position model. The record is from RNAcentral.
GACGAACGCUGGCGGCGUGCUUAACACAUGCAAGUCGAACGGAAAGGCCCUGCUUUUGUGGGGUGCUCGAGUGGCGAACGGGUGAGUAACACGUGAGUAACCUGCCCUUGACUUUGGGAUAACUUCAGGAAACUGGGGCUAAUACCGGAUAGGAGCUCCUGCUGCAUGGUGGGGGUUGGAAAGUUUCGGCGGUUGGGGAUGGACUCGCGGCUUAUCAGCUUGUUGGGGGGGUAGUGGCUUACCAAGGCUUUGACGGGUAGCCGGCCUGAGAGGGUGACCGGCCACAUUGGGACUGGAAUACGGCACAGACUCCUACGGGAGGCAGCAGUGGGGAAUAGUGCACAAUGGGCGGAAGCCUGAUGCAGCAACGCCGCGUGCGGGAUGACGGCCUGCGGGUUGUAAACCGCUUUCGCCUGUGACGAAGCGUGAGUGACGGUAAUGGGUAAAGAAGCACCGGCUAACUACGUG